GACGAACGCUGGCGGCGUGCCUAAAACAUGCAAGUCGAGCGAGAUCCAUCCGGUGCUUGCACCGGUGAAGAUCUAGCGGCGAACGGGUGAGUAACACGUGAGCAACCUGCCCCGAUGUCUGGGAUAACUCGAGGAAACUCGGGCUAAUACCGGAUGUCGUCUUCGGACCGCAUGGUCUGAUGACGAAAGAUUUAUCGCUU
RNAcentral lists this ribosomal RNA (200 nucleotides) under uncultured bacterium. RNAcentral describes it as "partial 16S ribosomal RNA". It matches the Rfam family "Bacterial small subunit ribosomal RNA", at positions 28 to 220 of the family's 1533-position model. The record is from RNAcentral.